CACACGGACGGGAUGCUCCUCUCGCGGUGAACUGAGCGCGACUCUAAUCUAUACGGCACAGACGGGAGCUGCCAAAACGCACGGGGCGCUUUACAUGUCCUGGGAGGACAUACACUCACACACACACCUCUUGAAGUAGCAUUCGUGUGAUAGGUCAUAACGAAACUCGAAUCGCAACCAUGGUAGACGCGACGAUGAUUCUGCCCGCUAUCUUUUUCACAAUUGUUGCCGUUCUCAUCGCGUCGGUUUUGUUCAAGAAACCCGAAAAAGAGAAGCCCAAGAAGAAGAGACCCCAUGAAGAAGCUCCCGAACGCGCCCCAGAGACCCACCACGCGAGCUCGUCCGAACCACUGGAGAUUCCCGUUCUGGUCAACCACCCGAUUUUUGGGACCACCGUAACCGCAGAAGCCAAGAAAGAAGAAGUCGUCGUGAAGGAAGAGAAGGUUGAGCCUGUGGCCGCCGCUCCCCCUGUAGUGGAAGAGGUCGGAGUGGUUGAGGAGCCCGCUGUUGUCGAGGCGACGGUCGAAGCCGCACAGGCUGCACCAGAGCCCCCAGCACCAGAGCCAGUACCGGAGCCCGAGCCCGUUGUAGAGGCAGCCCCUGAGCCCGUCCCAGAACCCGAGCCUGUGAUUCCAGAGCCAGAGCCAGCACCAGUGGUAGAGGCCGCACCAGAACCAGAACCAGAGCCUGUAGUGGAACCCGUGGUGGAACCCGAGCCAGAACCCGUUGUAGAGGCUGUGCCAGAACCCGUGGCAGAACAUGUGGAGGAACCAAUUCCCGCAGAACCCACACCAGAGCCAGAACCAGAGCCCGUUGUAGAGGCCCCAGCCCCAGUGGAGGAGGCCGCCCCAUCAGAACCGGCCCCCGAGCCCGUCGCAGAACCCACUCCCGAGCCAGAACACAACGAUGUAGCCGCUGGGCCUGUUGAGGAUGAUGAGGAGCUCCCUAAGAUUGUUCCCGGUAAGAAAAGGAGCAAGUUUGAGAAGCGGUUGUCCAAGGAGGAGAUGGAGGAGGAACAAAGGAUAGAGUUCACCAACGAUUUUACCUCCCUCUAGCCCCGCCCUCUCAGCAGCGGCCACGCCCCCUUCACCGCUGCCUGUAGAGUGCUCACUUAGACCGGGCUCUGAGCAGCUGAGUGAGCAGUGAACUUCAUGAGACCCUGAGCGUCGGCCUGUCCAUCUCUCCACCUCCAUCCCUCGCUCCACCCCCCCAUCUCUCCAUCCCUCUCUCCAUCGCUCCACCUCUCCAUCUCUCCAUCCCUCUCUCCAUCUCUCCGUCAGUGUGCCUCCCCGAUCCCUUCAUCACCCGCCCACCCCACCACUCCUUCCCUGGCAGCAGCGAGCGUGUGUGUGUGUGUGUGUGUGUGUGUGUGUGUGUUAUGCCUGACUCCCUCCUCUCCCUCCCUGGCGGUGGUGGUGGUGGUGACGGCGUGGACAGGAAGCUCAUGACGGCUGCUGUGUGUUAGUGUGCUGCCUGUGAAUAGCAAAGCUUUACCCUGAACACUCAGAGCCCACAGAGUGUGUGAGUGAGAGUGUGUGUAUGUGUGUGUGUGAGAGAGAGUGUAUGAUGUUCUACAUGUAAGAUUUUCUCACAAUAUAAAGUUCAUCUGAGAGAGAUGGCCCUUUCUGACAAGGUGAUUUAAACAGAAUUUGGUUACAGUGUACACACACACACACACACACACACACACACACACACACACACACACACACACACACUCUCACAUAUACUCACUCAUACACACACUCUCACACACUCACACUCACACACACUCACACAUUCAAAACUACCCAAAGUUUGGGAUGUCUGUUGUCGACUGGUCACUAUUAAUUUGGGUGAGGAUAGCAGCUCACAGUUAAGAUCUCUCUCUCUUUCUCUUUCUCUCUCUCUUUUUCUCCCUCUCUCUCUCUUUCUCUCUUCCUCUUUCUUUCUUUUUGUUGUUUUCUUGUGGAAUGUUUCAUUUUAUAUUUUGUUUUCCGUGUUAAAUGAAGACAUGAUUGUAGCUGUAGAGGUGGCCUGAGUGCCACUGCAUGUGUGCUAUGGUCAGCCGCUCUCAGACCUCCAAAGAUACGGUCACUAAGCGACCAGCGGUUGCCAAGGGAACGUUGGCUGUAUGGUCACCCACCCUUAGUUUACUUGAGAUGCGUCCACCAUCGCCAUGGUGAUCUUACUAACCCAUCGUAACUUAGGAGGCCUCCGCAAACUUCAUGCCCUCAUUGGACGUGUGCAAUUUGGUGGGUCGGACGAAGGAUCAGGAUGCAACAAUCUGGCUCUGAUCUGGCUCUGAUCUGGCCCUGAUGUGGCCCUGAUCUGGCCCUGAUGUGGCCCUGAUUUGGCUGUCUGUGAAGGGCACCUUAUGUAGAUUUACGAGAUAGAACAUAGUAGUAUUUAACUCUGUGCACACACACACACACACACACACACACACACACACACACACACACACACACACACACACACACACACACACACACACACACAAAUACACACAUGCACACUUAACACACAGUAUAUACUCACUACUUCUCAAAUACACAUGUUCUCAAAUCCACAUGUUCACAAACUAACACACUCAAAUGUUCUCGCUCUCUGUACACACUACAUGUGUCAUUUAUGGGGUACUGAACAUCCAUAAACUGCUCAUCUCUUGUGUACACACACACACACACACACACACACACACACACCUUGUACAGAGUUUAAUGACCUACAUGUAUGAUAAUAUUUCUGUUUGUAGAGUUUGAGAUGUGUUGAGCUCUGAGGAUAAUUGGCUUUUUUGGAACCUGUUGGAAUUAAAAGCCAGUGUAUGAACUUGA
RNA transcript from Sardina pilchardus (European sardine), 2816 nucleotides. It is a transcript of the gene named FILIA-N KH-like domain-containing protein, with no coding region annotated. The record is from RefSeq and is a predicted model, not a curated record. The transcript has 5 exons. NCBI's taxonomy places the organism in Eukaryota, Metazoa, Chordata, Actinopteri, Clupeiformes, Clupeidae.